RNAcentral lists this unclassified non-coding RNA (235 nucleotides) under Hevea brasiliensis (rubber tree). The record is from RNAcentral. Lineage: Eukaryota; Viridiplantae; Streptophyta; Magnoliopsida; Malpighiales; Euphorbiaceae.
AUGAUGAUGAUGAUGAUGAUGCUGAAACUAGGCAAUUUGGAUUUGUGGGACUUGAGGUAACUAAGGGCUUGUUCACUUCCGAAAGACUGAAGUAGUUUUUUGUAAAAAUUUUAUAAGAAAAUUAAAAAAACAGAGUUAUGUAUUCAUAUGUGCCAGUUUUCUAAAUGAAGAAAUUUAACUAAAAUUUGAAAAAUAGCCUUAAGUUGUUUUUCAUUGUUUUCCUUUAUAACAAAAG